This 159-nucleotide ribosomal RNA is filed under the name Jahnoporus hirtus. Its description in RNAcentral is "5.8S ribosomal RNA". It matches the Rfam family "5.8S ribosomal RNA". Rfam says of the family: 5.8S ribosomal RNA (5.8S rRNA) is a component of the large subunit of the eukaryotic ribosome. It is transcribed by RNA polymerase I as part of the 45S precursor that also contains 18S and 28S rRNA. The record is from RNAcentral. Lineage: Eukaryota; Fungi; Basidiomycota; Agaricomycetes; Polyporales; Postiaceae.
UACAACUUUCAGCAACGGAUCUCUUGGCUCUCGCAUCGAUGAAGAACGCAGCGAAAUGCGAUAAGUAAUGUGAAUUGCAGAAUUCAGUGAAUCAUCGAAUCUUUGAACGCACCUUGCGCUCCUUGGUACUCCGAGGAGCAUGCCUGUUUGAGUGUCAUG